GUCGUAACAAGGUCUCCGUAGGUGAACCUGCGGAGGGAUCAUUACACAAAUAUGAAGGCGGGCUGGAACCUCUCGGGGUUACAGCCUUGCUGAAUUAUUCACCCUUGUCUUUUGCGUACUUCUUGUUUCCUUGGUGGGUUCGCCCACCACUAGGACAAACAUAAACCUUUUGUAAUUGCAAUCAGCGUCAGUAACAAAUUAAUAAUUACAACUUUCAACAACGGAUCUCUUGGUUCUGGCAUCGAUGAAGAACGCAGCGAAAUGCGAUAAGUAGUGUGAAUUGCAGAAUUCAGUGAAUCAUCGAAUCUUUGAACGCACAUUGCGCCCUUUGGUAUUCCAAAGGGCAUGCCUGUUCGAGCGUCAUUUGUACCCUCAAGCUUUGCUUGGUGUUGGGCGUCUUGUCUCUAGCUUUGCUGGAGACUCGCCUUAAAGUAAUUGGCAGCCGGCCUACUGGUUUCGGAGCGCAGCACAAGUCGCACUCUCUAUCAGCAAAGGUCUAGCAUCCAUUAAGCCUUUUUUUCAACUUUUGACCUCGGAUCAGGUAGGGAUACCCGCUGAACUUAAGCAUA
RNAcentral lists this ribosomal RNA (569 nucleotides) under Alternaria alternata. Its description in RNAcentral is "eukaryotic LSU rRNA". The stretch from base 210 to 363 matches the Rfam family "5.8S ribosomal RNA". The record is from RNAcentral. Lineage: Eukaryota; Fungi; Ascomycota; Dothideomycetes; Pleosporales; Pleosporaceae.